UCCAGUGGAGGCGUGCUGUUUGAUUCUUGGGUGCGGCUCCAGGGUCUUUCAUUUGGAGGUCCCACCGAGAUCUCUUGAAGUCCCAUCCAAGACUCUAGCCGGUCCCCACUGGGAGACUCCAUUGCUACAAUGACUACACCACGACAGACGAUCCUUGUCACGUGCAAGGACACCUCUUCACUGUCAGCGCUGGAUUCAACUGCCUCCACCUUUUGAAACUCCCUUAUACUUUCCUACCCUGAUCAAUAUUGACCCCAGUAGGUAGGGACAGCUCUACGCCCCUAUUCAGCACGAAGAAGUUAUAGAAGAUGAGACCUUCCACCUUCAACCACCUU
Mustela erminea (ermine) is the source of this 335-nucleotide long non-coding RNA. RefSeq lists it as uncharacterized. The transcript has 2 exons. NCBI's taxonomy places the organism in Eukaryota, Metazoa, Chordata, Mammalia, Carnivora, Mustelidae. The record is from RefSeq and is a predicted model, not a curated record.